RNAcentral lists this long non-coding RNA (260 nucleotides) under Nicotiana tabacum (common tobacco). Its description in RNAcentral is "long non-coding RNA (NTAB_LNC000234)". The record is from RNAcentral. Lineage: Eukaryota; Viridiplantae; Streptophyta; Magnoliopsida; Solanales; Solanaceae.
AGCAAACCGCCGACCAUUCUUACAUGUUCGUUCAGUACGACGUAAGGGUUGUGUAACUGCCACCAAUCCUGCGCCGCACGGCGGACGUGGCGCUUUGCCCUCUGAAGGCGGUAGUCCUUCCGACCUCCUCUUCCUUGCCGGCGGUGGUUCUCUCCUUUCUUCUUCCUGCUAGAUUUACUUACUUAUAUACCUUACAUAGUUAAUUCCUUCUCCGUAAAUUACUAAUUGUUUUGCACAUUAGCAAUUAUUAAGGUUGUUCU